GCCUUUUCAAACCCUAUGCUUUCACGGUUGCAACUUUUUGUUUUUCCUUUCCUUUUGUUGCACACGGUUUUAAUUUCCUGUCUCCCACGUUUUAGUUCUUUACCCUUCCCCACCUUCUCUGUUCUACGGUUUCACAUUUAAUCAUCGCCAGCCUCUCUCCCUUCUAACGGCAACCUCUCUGUUUUACUUCCUUCCUAUCUUCCUCUCCUUACAAUAUAUAAAUACUAAUAGCAGCUAGACGAUUCAGUUGAGUAUAGGGAUUUUGGAGUAUUCAUGCUUCUGAGGCUGCGCAAGUUGAUGAUGAAGAUACAGCAAUGAUGAACAUUAUCAGGAAUCAACUAUGCUGAUAUAACAAAUUAGCUUUGGCAUCAUUGGCUCCAUCUGACGAAUCAGUACCUAGCAGCUCUAGAAAGAAGAAGUCCAAGUGAUCACUGCCAUGUUCAUGCAAUACAAAAUACACCAUUGUUUCUGCCAGAAAGGUGCUUUUGGAAGGAGAGAAAUGCUAAGAAACAAAGUCUGCAACAACAUUGAAACAGAUGAAAAAUUUUCCUAUUCUCAAGUAAAUCAUGGUCCUCACGAAAGCUUCAAAGUCUAAGAAAGGCAAAUGGAUUGGUGUUUCAUUUUAGUGUAAGAAUUUGAAAAAGUUCCAAUAUGUUCAUGGGCUGUCAAAGUUGAAAAGUGCAUAGGAAGACUACUGCUAUAUUGUUAUCUUUGAGGGUUCUCCCUAUCAAAGUCAUGAGAGAAUUUGUAGAACAAGCUUCUUUAUUUUUUAUUCUAUAUAUAUAUAUAUAUAUAUAUAUAUAUAUAUUUAUUUUGGACUUUAGGUUUCAUGUAAGGUAUUUAUUUUGUCUCAUAGAUGUUUGUUGUACUCUGCUUGGCAUAUUUUUAAAUUGGUACAAACUGUUGAAACAUAAACUAUUAGGACCUAUAAUACUUUUCAAAGUUGCUGUGUCAAGGCCUUAGGCCUUCACUUGGUAUCAAUUUGGUGGGCAGCAGGUGUUUGUUGAAAGUUGAGUAUUGGCACUUGGCAGCUAAGUGGUUUGUAAUGUUGUAAGUGGAACCUAAGUUUAAUCAAGCACCAUGGUCUUCUCUUUUGGUUCUUUGGGCGUCUCUUCAAGUCUUAAUUCUUUGCUGACACGCUCUUGCACUUUUGUUCCUAAGAGUUGGUUUGUCUCUGCCUCUCUUUCUAUAUUGCAUUCUGUAGGAAUUUUGUUUCAUUUUUGAUUUCUCUGUCUCCAUCUAAAUGAUUUUUAGUUUUGAUAUUUGGCUCAAAUAGUUAUGAUUGGUAGGAAUAAUUGUAUUUGGUGAGUGAUUAGUUUGUCAAAUCUUAUUGUCAAAUUAGAGGCAUUUAUAUUUUAUGGUGAUGACCUUAUUAUUUGAAUUUGAGUUUUGAUUCCAAGAGUCAUGUGGAUAAAACAAAGUAUUUGAAGUAGUUGAGGUCUCAAAGGAUAUGCAUGAUUCUAAAGAGAAUUUACCAUCUAUCAAUUUCAAUGUCAAAAUUCUAAACUGCAAGUAUAGGUGCAUAAUCCAAACUCCGUAUGAGUAACAAUGAUUGUAGUUUGUGAACCAAAUAUGCUGUGAGAGAUUGUAAUAGAACUUGAAAUUUCACUUUUAACUUUUAAUUACAAUUGCAUUUUUGGUCCAUUUUAUUGGUUUUUUUUUUUUAACUAUUUCUGUUAAUAAUAUUAUACUCAAUCCAUCUUUAUUUAAUCAUCCUACUGUUUGAGACUUCCUGUUAUAGAAAACACACAAAUUUGAAAUUCAUACUUAAAUUUAAGACCCUUGAUAGGAAAAAAUUAUAUUGGUUUAAUUAAUCAUUAGCUUUUAGCUUUAUUAUUUGAGUUCUUAAAAGAGAAAUAGUAUUUUUCACUACAGUAAAUAGUUUUUUUUCCCUGUGCAUUGCCCGGGUCUGCGUCUAGUAAAGAUAAUUGUGCAUGUAAAACGAAGUAAGCUUUGCCCACUGUUUAAUUUCCCAACUGUUUUUGCGGCGAGAUCAGUUUUUCUUGUGUUGGUACAUAGUGUAAAGAAUAUAGAACUCGGAUAAAUUAUAGUUUUGAUUUGGAAUGGAUUUGACUUACGAGAAUUUACAGGAUUGACUUGGCUGGAGACCAUAGAGAUAUUAAAAGGUCUGGCUUCAGGUUUGGCUUAUAUGCAUCAUUUUCCCAUCAUCCAUGGCGACCUUAAGCCUGAAAAUGUUGUCUUAACUGCGGAGGGAGUUCCAAAAAUAAUAGAUUUUGGUUGUGCUAAUGAGGGCAAUGGUGCAUGUCGACGCAUGUCUAUAGGUUACCUGCCUUUUGAAUCUCUGAGCUGUGGUAAUUUAUCAAUCUCCAGUACUUCUUUGCCAGCAAACAUAUGUUGACUGUUUCAGUUUUUCUAAAACCCAAUCCCCUUGUUAUUUUGGCUUACAUAAUGUUUCCUAAGAUGUCAAUAUGUUAUUUUUCUGCUUCUUCAUUUUUUGCCCUCCAAAAGUUGCAAAUAAUUUUGUCUUUGUUUGCAUAUGCCCUAUGGGCCUGCUUGCCCAAGAGUUUUGGUUAGCAUUGUUUCGCAUUGAGUUAUGAGUUGUUGCCAUUGUGAAGAGAACCCCCACACAUUUCAUGGUUACAAGAAUAAUAUUCCAACUUAUCCUAUUUUAGGCUUUGGGAAUGUCUACUUCUAUAGCAGCCCAACCCUUCAUACCAGAUUUCUUCUUCCAUGUGUAGUUUAGGUGUUCAUUGGCCAGAAGGAAAAUUUGUCAGUUAUGGCUCUAUCUUGAACAAAGGCAUUUUGGUACUGCAAAAUGAUUUCUGCAUGAUCGGCUUGAGUCAAUUAACAAGCACUUUCAUGGCUAACUUAUAAGCUACAUUGCGCAUGCCAAUUGGACGAAAGUCUUAGAGGUUUCUUGGCAACUCCCUUUUGGCUAUCAAGACAAUGUGAGUGUUGUUUAGCUGUUUCAGAAGGAACCCUGUGUAUAAGAGGAUAGAGUUGAUGAGAUUAGAGAGUUACUCGGCAUUUCUCAUGUUUGUUUGUAAAAGAUAGCCGGAGUUCCAUCUGGUCUAGGGACAUUGAGAGGUGACAUUUGUUAAAUGACCGACAGUACUUCCACAGUGAAUCUUUUUGACAGCAAUCCUGUUGUAAAUUUUGUAAGUGCUGGCAAUGAAAGCUUUAUCAAUUUUUGUUCUA
Molecule: RNA transcript, 3159 nt
Organism: Quercus lobata
Lineage: Eukaryota; Viridiplantae; Streptophyta; Magnoliopsida; Fagales; Fagaceae
Gene name: probable serine/threonine-protein kinase Sps1
Exons: 5
Source: RefSeq, a predicted model, not a curated record